GUCACUACAACUCUCAUGGAAUUUGACAUGUCCCUUUCAAUGUAUUCAAAAUAAACUUUGCUUCCUCCUUCAAGCUUGUUGCAGUCAAGUUGAACAUUGCUUAUCCAUGCAAGUUGCACAAAUUGGCAUCCACGUGCGUCCAAAACAACCAGUUUCAAUCCAUGGUAUUUAUCCCCCUCAAAAUGUUGGUUUUUGACUUGGGAAAACCUUAUUUCCGUGCCUGCACAACCUGCCUGGGGCAGAGCAGUUAUGUCCUUCCGAAGUGCCAUGUCUGUGUUGAGUUUCGCGGCUGCUGCCUUUCUGCCACGAAUUGAGAGGACAUAAGUGCCUGCUCAAAACAUUAGUAUGUUGAUCUUCAUCUUAUAUUUAUUUGCUUCCACUCUUUAUUCUGCGUGUAACAUUUUUCUCUUUAAUCAUCUAUAGCCUAAUUUAAUGAAAGGAUAACUAACUUAGAACUUGCUCGUUUAAUGAUAAAAAUCAAAUGUGAAAAUAGAUAGUCUACUUCCUAAUGGUGGAUUUGAAUGGGGACCGGCAUUCCUGGAUUCUUCUGGGGAGGAAGUUUUACAGGUUACGGAACCAAGUCUUGCGGAAUCAACUGUACAGCAGUGGACCACAAUGGGAACUGCGAAAUACAUAAACUCUAAAACUUCUUUGGCUCAGAAGGAAAAGGUGCUAUGAGAUUGUUUCGGGAGUGGCUGGAAUACAAACAGCAAAACCACUUUCCAAGGGUUCUAAUUAUAACUUGGAAUUCAUGCUGGGAGACGCCAAUGACUCGUGAUCCGGGGAAUCAUAGUAGGGGUUGUAGCAGGAUCAUUGGCUCAGAAUUUUUCUCUGCAGAGCAGUGGGACACUGGGACUGGAGCACCCAAGUAAUAUUCAAUCACAUUCAAAGGAGAACCAAGUCCAAUCCCAAUCACCUUUCUUAGCUGCUAUAAGACUACACAGAGGGAAGAUUGCGCAUUUUGCGGUCCAGUCAUUCACUGUGUAGUUCUAAGUGGUUCUCAUGGGUACAAAUCCAAUCUGCAGCUUAUUUUUCUAUUUGCCUUACUUCAUCUAGCCCUUCUGCAAAUGAGCUAGCUACUAUGACAAUAUUCAGUUACACAAAUAUUUAGAACCAAGGUUUAAUAUGAAUUACAGAUUAUUUUCAUACAAAUUGAUUUUGUACUCGUUUUUCUUUUCAAUGCCAAUUAGCAUAUUUUGCACAAUCAAAUAACAAUUAGCGUAGGU
RNAcentral lists this long non-coding RNA (1226 nucleotides) under Olea europaea subsp. europaea. Lineage: Eukaryota; Viridiplantae; Streptophyta; Magnoliopsida; Lamiales; Oleaceae. The record is from RNAcentral.